AAUAAUAAUAUACUACGUAUACAACAGACGGUUCACUCCAUACAAAAAAAGUUGCACUAUGAAUUUGCGCAAUUAAAGCGCCAGUGGGGAAAAAACGUACUACAUGUUCGAUUAUAUCUCUUGGUCUUUUGCUUUUAACACACUAGAUGGCACGUUAAACUCAGACUUGAAGUUCUUUUCCUUCCAGAGCCACUAGAUGGCACUAAUGUAAAUAUAUGUACACGUGUCACGUACCUUUUAUUUUCAAGUCUGUGGCGUCAAGUGUCAAUCAACAUAAUAAUAAAUAGGUACCUACUCGGAUUUUUAAAUAAACAAAGUAAACUGACUUAUUUAGUCACAGAGUACAUUAAUAAGACUGGUAUUUAGUUCAGUUUAUUUACGAGAUUCUGUCAAAACCAAAACGAGAAGCUUUGUUUGUUUUCGUUUUUAAUUGUUGACUAAUAUUUUAAAAAUAAGUGCUAAAUAUGGUUUAUGGAUGAACUGUGAGGUUAUGUAGAAUCUACAGGCAGAAAAUAAGCUUUAUAUGACUUAUUGCUUACGUUCGCAAUAACAAAUUUGUUCAAGAGAGGAGAAGAAUUAAUCCAUCCCAAAUGUAAAUAAUAAUACGAUUCUCCACAAAAACAUUGUAGACACAAGAAAGGGAUUUCUACAUUUGCUACUAAGAAGGAUAUGGGAUCAUGAAGGAUUUCAUCUGUUUUAAUACCAGUAAAAUGGAAUGAGCGCCGCGGCCGUGGCCGUGACUGUGUUUGGUACAUAAAGAAUGACAAACAUUCAACUUGAAAUUAUGAGUGCAUUACGGGCAAGGGCACAAUAAGUUUCCCUUUGACUAAGAUGUACUUAAUUUUAAGGAACACGAAAAUGGAUGGCUAGAAUAGGUAUAAUCGCAUACAUAGUAUUUAUUUCUAGUCUGUUGUAUAAAUAAUCAAAGACUACAAAAUAUAAUGAACUAUGUCUUUAAUAUUAAUUCUACAGUUUACAGUGUAGUGUGUAAUCUAUUGUAUGUGUGCGUCUAGAAUAUAUAGUCCUGUUGUUCUACAGUUUAAGCAGUUCAAUACAAGCUUACAUUCGA
Molecule: long non-coding RNA, 1069 nt
Organism: Colias croceus (clouded yellow)
Lineage: Eukaryota; Metazoa; Arthropoda; Insecta; Lepidoptera; Pieridae
Exons: 2
Source: RefSeq, a predicted model, not a curated record